Molecule: long non-coding RNA, 384 nt
Organism: Homo sapiens (human)
Lineage: Eukaryota; Metazoa; Chordata; Mammalia; Primates; Hominidae
Gene: DGUOK-AS1
Product: DGUOK antisense RNA 1
Source: Ensembl
AGUUAUCUCAUCGGCGCUGGGCACUGGAAUGGUUUGCAUGUUUCUUUCCCAGUUACUACAAACUCCUGGAAGGGUAGCACGCUGUCUUUCACCUCAUAACCCUAGACCUAGCAACCAACCACUGUGUUGAAUGAAGAGACGAGAAAAAUCAUCAUUGACAUCCAACACCAGCACUGGAAUGUUCAUCAGAGCCUCAAAGUGGAGCCUAUAAGAAGCGUGAACGUUUGGGGGACAGAAAAAAAGAAAUGUAACUUGAGUCAAGUUUCACAUACUCGCCAAGUCUUACUCAGAGAACAGAUCUAAAUUCAACAUGACUUUUCAAAGAAACUGCAUGUAAACUGCAUUUAAAAAAACAAAUUCAAUAAAGUUGGCCGGAAACAGAAA